RNAcentral lists this non-coding RNA (20 nucleotides) under Rattus norvegicus (Norway rat). The record is from RNAcentral. Lineage: Eukaryota; Metazoa; Chordata; Mammalia; Rodentia; Muridae.
AAUGGGUGUAAUUAGAUACA